AUGCCACAAGUUCUACCUCCUCCUAAUCAUCUUACGCAGGGUCAAACUCUUAAGUCGGAUUUGCUCAUUACGGGGCCCAAAAUAUUUUCUGACGCCGCUUUCAGAAGUUCAAAAGUUCCUGGUCUAUUACAGGGAGCAGUUGCUAAUGGAGUAGGGGUAUAUCUUGCUUUGUCUCGAGAUCGUUUUGAGAUCAAGGUGCAAAUUCAAGCAUCAGCUCCUCCCACUACUUCUCCUCUACAUGCAGAAGCUCUAGCUCUUUCUUUUGUAGCUCAAGUGGCUAGUAAGCUCAAUAUUCUUCAGCCAACCUUUCUCAUGGAUGCCUCUCUUUAUCUUUGGUGGCUGCUACCAGCAAGAUUGUUGAAUCUACCACCCCUUGGAGCAUCAGGAAGCCUUUGGCUAAUUUCUUCAAGCAUGCUAACAGUUUGCAACCUCGAGUGUUUCACAUUCCUAGGGAAAUCAAUGGCAUAG
This 468-nucleotide ribosomal RNA is filed under the name Triticum aestivum (bread wheat). RNAcentral describes it as "partial small subunit ribosomal RNA". The record is from RNAcentral. Lineage: Eukaryota; Viridiplantae; Streptophyta; Magnoliopsida; Poales; Poaceae.